This 526-nucleotide ribosomal RNA is filed under the name Enterobacter asburiae. RNAcentral describes it as "bacterial SSU rRNA". It matches the Rfam family "Bacterial small subunit ribosomal RNA", at positions 1 to 522 of the family's 1533-position model. Lineage: Bacteria; Pseudomonadati; Pseudomonadota; Gammaproteobacteria; Enterobacterales; Enterobacteriaceae. The record is from RNAcentral.
UGGAGAGUUUGAUCCUGGCUCAGAUUGAACGCUGGCGGCAGGCCUAACACAUGCAAGUCGAGCGGUARCACAGGGAGCUUGCUCCUGGGUGACGAGCGGCGGACGGGUGAGUAAUGUCUGGGAAACUGCCUGAUGGAGGGGGAUAACUACUGGAAACGGUAGCUAAUACCGCAUAACGUCGCAAGACCAAAGAGGGGGACCUUCGGGCCUCUUGCCAUCAGAUGUGCCCAGAUGGGAUUAGCUAGUAGGUGGGGUAACGGCUCACCUAGGCGACGAUCCCUAGCUGGUCUGAGAGGAUGACCAGCCACACUGGAACUGAGACACGGUCCAGACUCCUACGGGAGGCAGCAGUGGGGAAUAUUGCACAAUGGGCGCAAGCCUGAUGCAGCCAUGCCGCGUGUAUGAAGAAGGCCUUCGGGUUGUAAAGUACUUUCAGCGGGGAGGAAGGUGUUGAGGUUAAUAACCUCAGCAAUUGACGUUACCCGCAGAAGAAGCACCGGCUAACUCCGUGCCAGCAGCCGCGGUA